GGCAGAGACAAAGUUCCCUGAGAGCUCCCAUCAGCUCCUGCUCCCGCCUUCCUCCACAUUCCUGCGCUGAACUUGGCGAAGUCCAGCGGCUGUCGUACCUUCCCUGGGCUCCUCCGCUUCGGAGAGCAUGCUGUCGGGGUGCACAGCCACAGGCGCCACCGCCACGGACAUGGACGUGAGGCUGCGAGGCUCCUAGACGACAUCCGGCUUUGCCUUCCCUCUUCCGCUGGCCAGAUGUCCACAGAUGUCCACCUGAGCCUCGGAGGAACCUCGCCACAGCUGUUUGCUACACAAAUGAGAUGCCUUUAGCGAAUCUAUAGCUGGAUCGAAGAAGCAGCACCUUCUGAAGCCUGAGAGAGACCCCCUCGCCCUGGCUGGCUGACCGUAGCUGCAUGCAAUCUGAGACGCUUAUGCAACUUCCCAGCGCUGAUGGGCUGCGCACAUCUGUGAUUGAUUACUGUGAAGCGUUCAAAAGCCAGAGGCUCUGCCUGGGACACCCAGUGAUCACCUCCUCUCUCUACCUUGUGUUCACUUCGAGGGGCCACAGAACUACGCCGAGACAGGCUGAGUAAGGAGUCUCGGCUGACUGCAUUCAGCAGAGAAGAUUUUGGACAAGAACAGAACCUACGAGGUUUUGACCAUGUGCCAGGUGGUCACAGUUUAAGAGACAGAAGAGGCUCGUGGAGAAACUCCAGGAGGGAUGGGCUUUCCAGGCGCGGUGGCCAAGCCGACACUGGACAGACAAACUCAGCAGGCGGUAAAAUGUGAACUGAUGCAGAACUUAUCCAAACAGGGUUCAGGGCAAGAGCAGAGGUUCCUUUUCUGCUGUGGCUCAGGAGGUUUUCCACUUGAAUAGGUCAGGUUCUGAAACUGGUUUAUUUGGCCAGUCCCUAAAGAGGAGCUAUAGACAUAUGUGUCAGUUACCCCUCAGAGUAUGGGGUGCAUGUUUUGACAAGCCCCCUCACCUGAGUCGUGUACAGACUACAGAAUGUGAUAUCAAACCCAUGAACUUUGUAGGAAAAAAAAAAGGUAAAAAAAAAUCAUUAACUUUCUCAAUUUGAACUCUAUUUCCACUGAUUUUUUUUUUUUAACUACUAAAUUCAGCAAAGUCCCCUUGCAUGGCACUUAAUUUUUUUUUCAAUUUCAGCUAUAUGUGAUCAGAUACAAAAAAUAAUGACAUAGUCCCUGGAGCGCUGUUCACCCUAAUUUUAUCUUGGAAAACAUGACGAUGCAGAGCUGGGACUUUGUCCCUCUCCUGACCGCUUUCUGCACCUCUGCCUGGCCUUUGACCCUGGUAGCCCUUAUACAGGAGAUGUGAGUGCUACAUCAAAGAUUGUGUAGUUUUUGAAAAACUGAUAGAUGUGUAUGAUCAAUGGCUCAAUAGUAAAAGGUGCUUGCCACCAAGCCCUGGAGCUGUCAUGGUGGAAGGAGAAAACUGACUCUCCCUCAAACUGUCCCCUGACCUUCCUGUGUACACACCCUCACACAUGCACGCACGCCCAGAAAUAAGUGUGAAAUAGAGAAAGAAUGACCAUAAAAACAUUGAGAGAGGAUAACUGAACAUCCCCAAGUAGCAUCCUGUGAUGUUUUAGUGCACUGUAUGCUGAUCUACGAAAGACACUUGGAGUCUCUCAUCCUUGUCAACAUUUUCAUUUCUCUGUAUUAAAAACAAACAAAAUAAUAAUAAAA
Long non-coding RNA from Mus caroli (Ryukyu mouse), 1689 nucleotides. RefSeq lists it as uncharacterized. The record is from RefSeq and is a predicted model, not a curated record. Lineage: Eukaryota; Metazoa; Chordata; Mammalia; Rodentia; Muridae.